UUUCUGUCUUUUCUGGUCCAG
RNAcentral lists this microRNA (21 nucleotides) under Homo sapiens (human). Its description in RNAcentral is "hsa-miR-4743-3p". The record is from miRBase by way of RNAcentral. Lineage: Eukaryota; Metazoa; Chordata; Mammalia; Primates; Hominidae.